UCCCAGACUCCUACGGGAGGCAGCAGUAGGGAAUCUUUCACAAUGGGCGAAAGCCUGAUGGAGCAACGCCGCGUGCAGGAUGAAGGCCUUCGGGUUGUAAACUGCUUUUAUAAGCGAGAAAUAUGAUGGUAACUUAUGAAUAAGGAUCGGCUAACUACGUGCCAGCAGCCGCGGUAAUACGUAGGGGGCAAGCGUUAUCCGGAAUGACUGGGCGUAAAGGGUGCGUAGGUGGUUUGGCAAGUUAGUAGCGUAAUUCCGGGGCUCAACUUCGGAACUACUACUAAAACUGCUGGGCUUGAGUGCAGGAGGGGCAUAUGGAAUUCCUAGUGUAGCGGUGGAAUGCGUAGAUAUUAGGAGGAACACCAGUGGCGAAGGCGAUAUGCUGGACUGUAACUGACACUGAGGCACGAAAGCGUGGGGAGCAAACAGGAUUAGAUACCCUGGUA
RNAcentral lists this ribosomal RNA (446 nucleotides) under uncultured bacterium. Its description in RNAcentral is "bacterial SSU rRNA". It matches the Rfam family "Bacterial small subunit ribosomal RNA", at positions 329 to 792 of the family's 1533-position model. The record is from RNAcentral.